AGCGAACGCUGGCGGCAGGCUUAACACAUGCAAGUCGAGCGGGCAUCUUCGGAUGUCAGCGGCAGACGGGUGCGUAACACGUGGGAACGUACCCUUCGGUUCGGAACAACUCUGGGAAACUGGAGCUAAUACCGGAUACGCCCUUAUGGGGAAAGGUUUACUGCCGAAGGAUCGGCCCGCGUCUGAUUAGCUAGUUGGUGGGGUAACGGCCUACCAAGGCGACGAUCAGUAGCUGGUCUGAGAGGAUGAUCAGCCACACUGGGACUGAGACACGGCCCAGACUCCUACGGGAGGCAGCAGUGGGGAAUAUUGGACAAUGGGCGCAAGCCUGAUCCAGCCAUGCCGCGUGAGUGAUGAAGGCCUUAGGGUUGUAAAGCUCUUUUGUCCGGGACGAUAAUGACGGUACCGGAAGAAUAAGCCCCGGCUAACUUC
RNAcentral lists this ribosomal RNA (432 nucleotides) under uncultured bacterium. Its description in RNAcentral is "partial 16S ribosomal RNA". It matches the Rfam family "Bacterial small subunit ribosomal RNA", at positions 29 to 504 of the family's 1533-position model. The record is from RNAcentral.